Molecule: long non-coding RNA, 321 nt
Filed under: Hordeum vulgare
Lineage: Eukaryota; Viridiplantae; Streptophyta; Magnoliopsida; Poales; Poaceae
Description: long non-coding RNA (HVUL_LNC000655)
Source: RNAcentral
UAUGAUAUGUUUUCUGACCGAGACACACAUGUGGACUUGAGUAGCUAUAAAGUUGACAAAGGCAUCCCUAUACAGUUACCAGAAGAGUCAGAUGAGACGGAGGUAUCAUCUUUACGGACGGAUAAAAUUGCAUCACCGAAGCAACGACAAGCACCACCAAAUGAGCAAGAAAAGUCCGAGGGCAUGUUAGACGAUUGUAGCGCCAUAGAAGAGGGGCCGGAGCAGAUUCUUGGGAAACAAACAUGAAACCCUUCAAAAUUAGUGAAAUCUCCUUUUAUUGAUGACAAACCGAAGAAGCGUGUGAAACGUACCGUUAAAGCG